AUUAACGCUAGCGGCAGGCAUAAUACAUGCAAGUUGAACGGCAGCACAGGUAGCAAUACCGGGUGGCGAGUGGCGCACGGGUGCGUAACACGUAUGCAACCUACCCUAUACAGGCGAAUAACCUUUAGAAAUGAGGGCUAAUACGCCGUGGUAUUAUCUUGGGGCAUCUUGAGAUAAUUAAAGAUUAUCGGUAUAGGAUGGGCAUGCGUCCCAUUAGUUAGUUGGUAGGGUAACGGCCUACCAAGGCUAUGAUGGGUAGGG
RNAcentral lists this ribosomal RNA (261 nucleotides) under uncultured bacterium. Its description in RNAcentral is "partial 16S ribosomal RNA". It matches the Rfam family "Bacterial small subunit ribosomal RNA", at positions 29 to 288 of the family's 1533-position model. The record is from RNAcentral.